RNAcentral lists this ribosomal RNA (474 nucleotides) under uncultured bacterium. RNAcentral describes it as "bacterial SSU rRNA". It matches the Rfam family "Bacterial small subunit ribosomal RNA", at positions 28 to 507 of the family's 1533-position model. The record is from RNAcentral.
GACGAACGCUGGCGGCGUGCCUCAAACAUGCAAGUCGAGCGAGGUGAGACCGAACCGCAAGGUGAGGUUGAACCUAGCGGCGAACGGGUGAGUAACACGUGGGUAACCUGCCUGGAAGAUUGGGAUAACGGCUCGAAAGAGUCGCUAAUACCGGAUAAUGUCCUGGUGCUGCAUGGCACCGGGAAGAAAGGGGAAACCCGCUUUCAGAUGGGCCCGCGCCCCAUCAGCUAGUUGGUAAGGUAACGGCUUACCAAGGCGACGACGGGUAGCCGGUCUGAGAGGACGAUCGGCCACACUGGGACUGAGAUACGGCCCAGACUCCUACGGGAGGCAGCAGUUGGGAAUCUUAGGCAAUGGGCGAAAGCCUGACCUAGCGACGCCGCGUGAGGGAAGAAGGCCUUCGGGUCGUAAACCUCUGUCAUGGGGACGAAGAAAGUAGACGGUACCCACGGAGGAAGCCCUGCUAACUACGUG